RNAcentral lists this ribosomal RNA (433 nucleotides) under uncultured bacterium. Its description in RNAcentral is "partial 16S ribosomal RNA". It matches the Rfam family "Bacterial small subunit ribosomal RNA", at positions 29 to 507 of the family's 1533-position model. The record is from RNAcentral.
AACGAACGCUGGCGGCAUGCCUAACACAUGCAAGUCGAACGAGACCUUCGGGUCUAGUGGCGCACGGGUGCGUAACGCGUGGUAACCUGCCCUUAGGUUCGGAAUAACUCCCCGAAAGGGAUGCUAAUACCGGAUAAUGUCUUCGGACCAAAGAUUUAUCGCCUUUGGAUGGGCCCGCGUUGGAUUAGCUAGUUGGUAGGGGAAAAGCAUACCAAGGCGACGAUCCAUAGCUGGUCUGAGAGGAUGAUCAGCCACACUGGGACUGAGACACGGCCCAGACUCCUACGGAAGGCAGCAGUGGGGAAUAUUGGACAAUGGACGAAGGCGUGAUCCAGCAAUGCCGCGUGAGUGAUGAAGGCCUUAGGGUUGUAAAGCUGUUUUACCCGGGAUGAUAAUGACAGUACCGGGAGAAUAAGCUCCGGCUAACUCCGUG